This 253-nucleotide ribosomal RNA is filed under the name uncultured bacterium. Its description in RNAcentral is "partial 16S ribosomal RNA". It matches the Rfam family "Bacterial small subunit ribosomal RNA", at positions 524 to 776 of the family's 1533-position model. The record is from RNAcentral.
UACAGAGGGUGCGAGCGUUGCUCGGAAUCACUGGGCGUAAAGGGUGCGUAGGCGGGUCUUUAAGUCAGGGGUGAAAUCCUGGAGCUCAACUCCAGAACUGCCUUUGAUACUGAAGAUCUUGAGUUCGGGAGAGGUGAGUGGAACUGCGAGUGUAGAGGUGAAAUUCGUAGAUAUUCGCAAGAACACCAGUGGCGAAGGCGGCUCACUGGCCCGAUACUGACGCUGAGGCACGAAAGCGUGGGGAGCAAACAGG